CCCUUAGAUGUUCUGGGCCGCACGCGCGCUACACUGACGGAGUCAACGAGUUGUCCUGCAUCGGAAGGUGUGGGUAAUCUUUUGAAACUUCGUCGUGCUGGGGAUAGAUCUUUGCAAUUUUCGAUCUUGAACGAGGAAUUCCUAGUAAGCGUGAUUCAUCAGAUCGCGUUGAUUACGUCCCUGCCCUUUGUACACACCGCCCGUCGCUACUACCGAUUGAAUGGUUUAGUGAGGCCUCGGGACUAGCGCGCUCGAGUAGCAAUACACCUGCGCGCCGGGAACUUGGUCAAACUUGAUCAUUUAGAGGAAGUAAAAGUCGUAACA
Molecule: ribosomal RNA, 324 nt
Filed under: uncultured eukaryote
Lineage: Eukaryota
Description: partial 18S ribosomal RNA
Rfam family: Eukaryotic small subunit ribosomal RNA
Source: RNAcentral